RNAcentral lists this ribosomal RNA (471 nucleotides) under uncultured bacterium. Its description in RNAcentral is "partial 16S ribosomal RNA". It matches the Rfam family "Bacterial small subunit ribosomal RNA", at positions 28 to 507 of the family's 1533-position model. The record is from RNAcentral.
GACGAACGCUGGCGGCGUGCUUAACACAUGCAAGUCGAACGAUGAAGCCUAGCUUGCUAGGUGGAUUAGUGGCGAACGGGUGAGUAAUACGUGAGUAACCUACCUUUAACUCUGGGAUAAGCCCGGGAAACUGGGUCUAAUACCGGAUACGACCAAUCUCCGCAUGGGGUGUUGGUGGAAAGCGUUAUGUAGUGGUUAUAGAUGGGCUCACGGCCUAUCAGCUUGUUGGUGAGGUAACGGCUCACCAAGGCGACGACGGGUAGCCGGCCUGAGAGGGUGACCGGCCACACUGGGACUGAGACACGGCCCAGACUCCUACGGGAGGCAGCAGUGGGGAAUAUUGCACAAUGGGCGCAAGCCUGAUGCAGCGACGCCGCGUGAGGGAUGACGGCCUUCGGGUUGUAAACCUCUGUUAGCAGGGAAGAAGAGAGAUUGACGGUACCUGCGGAGAAAGCGCCGGCUAACUACGUG